AUCACGACGCUACGAAGAAUCAAAAUAAAAACAAUUGGAGCAAUAGGAAGAAUCAGAAGAAAAUUAAACAAAAUUCAGAAUUUUAUGAGUCCUAUUAAAUUCUCACGAUUCUAUAUUCUUUGGUUCUUUAUUAAGCUAUUUUUUUAUAUUCGUAUGCAAACUGUAUCUAUGUUGUUAUUAAUUUUGCAUUAUUUUUUUCUCCUUCUUUCCAAACCUCUCCUCCAUUAC
Molecule: long non-coding RNA, 228 nt
Filed under: Lathyrus oleraceus (garden pea)
Lineage: Eukaryota; Viridiplantae; Streptophyta; Magnoliopsida; Fabales; Fabaceae
Description: Pisum sativum (pea) long non-coding RNA (PSAT_LNC000220)
Source: RNAcentral